AAGGGUACAGGCAUCAGUAUGAGGUAGGAGCAGACUGAAGGGAGCUUGCUCCCGGAUGUUAGCGGCGGACGGGUGAGUAACACGUGGGUAACCUGCCUGUAAGACUGGGAUAACUCCGGGAAACCGGAGCUAAUACCGGAUAGUUCCUUGAACCGCAUGGUUCAAGGAUGAAAGACGGUUUCGGCUGUCACUUACAGAUGGACCCGCGGCGCAUUAGCUAGUUGGUGGGGUAAUGGCUCACCAAGGCGACGAUGCGUAGCCGACCUGAGAGGGUGAUCGGCCACACUGGGACUGAGACACGGCCCAGACUCCUACGGGAGGCAGCAGUAGGGAAUCUUCCGCAAUGGACGAAAGUCUGACGGAGCAACGCCGCGUGAGUGAUGAAGGUUUUCGGAUCGUAAAGCUCUGUUGUUAGGGAAGAACAAGUGCGAGAGUAACUGCUCGCACCUUGACGGUACCUAACCAGAAAGCCACGGCUAACUACGUGCCAGCAGCCGCGGUAAUACGUAGGUGGCAAGCGUUGUCCGGAAUUAUUGGGCGUAAAGGGCUCGCAGGCGGUUUCUUAAGUCUGAUGUGAAAGCCCCCGGCUCAACCGGGGAGGGUCAUUGGAAACUGGGAAACUUGAGUGCAGAAGAGGAGAGUGGAAUUCCACGUGUAGCGGUGAAAUGCGUAGAGAUGUGGAGGAACACCAGUGGCGAAGGCGACUCUCUGGUCUGUAACUGACGCUGAGGAGCGAAAGCGUGGGGAGCGAACAGGAUUAGAUACCCUGGUAGUCCACGCCGUAAACGAUGAGUGCUAAGUGUUAGGGGGUUUCCGCCCCUUAGUGCUGCAGCUAACGCAUUAAGCACUCCGCCUGGGGAGUACGGUCGCAAGACUGAAACUCAAAGGAAUUGACGGGGGCCCGCACAAGCGGUGGAGCAUGUGGUUUAAUUCGAAGCAACGCGAAGAACCUUACCAGGUCUUGACAUCCUCUGACAACCCUAGAGAUAGGGCUUUCCCUUCGGGACAGAGUGACAGUGGUGCAUGGUUGUCGUCAGCUCGUGUCGUGAGAUGUUGGGUUAAGUCCCGCAACGAGCCGCAACCCUUUGAUC
RNAcentral lists this ribosomal RNA (1091 nucleotides) under Bacillus sp. (in: firmicutes). Its description in RNAcentral is "bacterial SSU rRNA". It matches the Rfam family "Bacterial small subunit ribosomal RNA", at positions 47 to 1111 of the family's 1533-position model. Lineage: Bacteria; Bacillati; Bacillota; Bacilli; Caryophanales; Bacillaceae. The record is from RNAcentral.